Molecule: ribosomal RNA, 1573 nt
Filed under: uncultured prokaryote
Description: partial 16S ribosomal RNA
Rfam family: Bacterial small subunit ribosomal RNA
Source: RNAcentral
AGAGUUUGAUCCUGGCUCAGAACGAACGCUGGCAGCGUGGAUUAGGCAUGCAAGUCGAACGAGAAGCCACAGUUUCAAGUUUUCGGACAAGAAACUGUGGUGGACAGUGGCGGAAGGGUGAGGAACACGUGGGUAAUCUACCUCUGAGUUGGGGACAACCCUGGGAAACUGGGGCUAAUACCGAAUAUGAUCGCGCCGCGCCUGUGGUGCUGAUUAAAGGCGGGGAUCUUCGGACCUGCCGCUUAGAGAGGAACCCGCGUCCCAUCAGCUUGUUGGUGAGGUAAUGGCUCACCAAGGCUUACGGGUAGCUGGUCUGAGAGGAUGAUCAGCCACACUGGGACUGAGACACUGCCCAGACUCCUACGGGAGGCUGCAGUCGAGGAUCAUUGACAAUGCGCGAAAGCGUGAACAUGCGACGCUGCGUGGGGGAUGAAGGCCUUAGGGUCGUAAACUCCUGUCAUUCGGGAAAAAAAAGCGGGCCGUUAAUAGCGGUUCGCCUCGAUGGUACCUAAAGAGGAAGCCACGGCUAACUCUGUGCCAGCAGCCGCGGUAAUACAGAGGUGGCGAGCGUUGUUCGGAUUUACUGGGCGUAAAGAGUACGUAGGUGGUUUUGUAUGUCGGAUGUGAAAGCCCAUGGCUCAACUGUGGAAUUGCAUUCGAAACUGCGGAACUAGAGUGCAGGAGAGGAGAGCGGAAUUCUUGGUGUAGCGGUGAAAUGCGUUGAUAUCAAGAAGAACACCGGUGGCGAAGGCGGCUCUCUGGAAUGUUACUGACACUGAGGUACGAAAGUUGGGGGAGCAAACAGGAUUAGAUACCCUGGUAGUCCCAGCCGUAAACGGUGUGCACUUGGUGUGGGGGGAAUUGACCCCCUCCGUGCCGGAGCUAACGCGUUAAGUGCACCGCCUGGGGAGUACGGCCGCAAGGCUAAAACUCAAAGAAAUUGACGGGGGCCCGCACAAGCGGAGGAGCAUGUGGCUUAAUUCGAUGCAACGCGAAGAACCUUACCAGGGCUUGACAUGGGGACCCUUCGGGGGUGGUAGCGAAAGUUACCUUUACGAUCACAGGUGCUGCAUGGCUGUCGUCAGCUCGUGCCGUGAGGUGUUGGGUUAAGUCCCGCAACGAGCGCAACCCUUGUGUUUAGUUGCCAUCACAGGUGAUGAGCCUGUGAGCACUCUAAACAGACUGCCCGUGCAAGCGGGAGGAAGGUGGGGAUGACGUCAAGUCCGCGUGGCCCUUAUGCCCAGGGCUACACACGUGCUACAAUGGCAGAUACAGAAGGAUGCCAACCUGCAAGGGGGAGCCAAUCCUAUAAAGUCCAUCUCAGUUGGGAUCGGAGUCUGCAACUCGACUCCGUGAACCUGGAAUCGCUAGUAAUCGUGGAUCAGCACGCCACGGUGAAUACGUUCCCGGGCCUUGUACACACCGCCCGUCACACCACGAAAGUCUGUUGUACCCGAAGUGGGUGAGCUAAUUCCGAGCAAUCGGGAAGGCAGCCUCCGAAGGUAUGACCGGUAAUUGGGGUGAAGUCGUAACAAGGUAGCCGUAGGGGAACCUGCGGCUGGAUCACCUCCUU